Molecule: ribosomal RNA, 468 nt
Filed under: uncultured bacterium
Lineage: Bacteria
Description: partial 16S ribosomal RNA
Rfam family: Bacterial small subunit ribosomal RNA
Source: RNAcentral
GACGAACGCUGGCGGCGUGCUUAACACAUGCAAGUCGAACGGAAAGGCCCUGCUUUUGUGGGGUUCUCGAGUGGCGAACGGGUGAGUAACACGUGAGUAACCUGCCCUUGACUUUGGGAUAACUUCAGGAAACUGGGGCUAAUACCGGAUAGGAGCUCCUGCUGCAUGGUGGGGGUUGGAAAGUUUCGGCGGUUGGGGAUGGACUCGCGGCUUAUCAGCUUGUUGGUGGGGUAGUGGCUGACCAAGGCUUUGACGGGUAGCCGGCCUGAGAGGGUGACCGGCCACAUUGGGACUGAGAUACGGCCCAGACUGCUACGGGAGGCAGCAGUGGGGAAUAUUGCACAAUGGGCGGAAGUCUGAUGCAGAGACGCCGCGUGCGGGAUGACGGCCUGCGGGUUGUAAACCGCUUUAGCCUGUGACGAAGCGGGAGUGACGGUAAUGGGUAAAGAAGCACCGGCUAACUACGUG